AUACGGAGGAUCCAAGCGUUAUCCGGAUUUAUUGGGUUUAAAGGGUGCGCAGGCGGAAGAUUAAGUCGGCGGUGAAAUUUUGCAGCUCAACUGUAAAAGUGCCAUCGAUACUGGUUUUCUUGAGUGUGGAUGAAGUAGGCGGAAUUUGUGGGGUAGCGGUGAAAUGCAUAGAUAUCACGAGGAACUCCGUUUGCGCAGGCAGCUUACUAAACUACUACUGACGCUCAGGCACGAAGGCGUGGGGAUCAAACAGGAUUAGAUACCCUGGUAGUCCACGCAGUAAACGAUGAUUACUAGCUGUUUGCGAUACAAUGUAAGCGGCUAAGCGAAAGCAUUAAGUAAUCCACCUGGGGAGUACGUUCGCAAGAAUGAAACUCAAAUUAAUUGACGGGG
RNAcentral lists this ribosomal RNA (393 nucleotides) under uncultured bacterium. Its description in RNAcentral is "partial 16S ribosomal RNA". It matches the Rfam family "Bacterial small subunit ribosomal RNA", at positions 523 to 918 of the family's 1533-position model. The record is from RNAcentral.